CGAGGGCUCUCAUAAAUUAUACCGCACAAAUGGUUUCACGUUAUCUCUUCCUGGAGGUGAAAGGAAACAGCUGAUGGUUCCGGGUCAAGUUGAGGCACCUCUGACCUCCAGCCCCCAGAGCCACAGCGCCGCCUGCUGGUGGAGCCCCGCCAGAACUGACAUAGACUCGUCCAGCCUCCAGGUGCACCCACGCCCUUUUCUUGCACCAAGAAGCUGAGCAGCCUCUCUCUACUCUCUGUGACCGUCCUCUUUGGCCUCCGCAUGGUUCAGCCUGGAAUCCUGAAGAGUCUGCACCGAAACCUGGAUAUUGCCCAGAGUUUACUCUAUCCUGCCCUUUCACCCUCUUACCUGUGUGCUGCACUAUAAAGCCUGCCUGGGGAUCGAGAAGUAUUGCUUCUUCAACUGUCAACAUCAGUGUACAGAGCUUUGGUGGACUUUGGAUUGAGGUGGAAACUCCUUAGCCAAGCCUGAGGAGACGCUGGUGCUACAGGCUCUGAUUUGGAUAACUGGUCUCCAAUUUGUCCAUGAUCUUCCCAGGCCCAAGAUGUCAUUUCAGAGUUAAAUGCUUGUUAAUAUGACAAGAAGACAAAGAGAUAAAGCAUUGUAUAUUUAAAACCACAGAAAAAUCUGUAAGACUGCUGGAUCUCCUCUCUCUCUCCCUGUCUCUCUCUCCAUCCUUUAUGGCUUUUCCCUUAGGAUCUGAAAAAAGGAUAUGAUUAAUAUUUCACAUUUAGUUAAGGACCACAAAGGUAGUAGAAGUCUGGACAAGUCUUCCAAAAUUUUAUUUGUAACUAUUAUAAACAAAUUUUGAAAAGCCAAUUAUUCCCUAGCAUGCUUUAAGUUGACAUCUAACAUUUUUAUCAUAAUUGCAUAAUAGUUACAAAG
Molecule: long non-coding RNA, 885 nt
Filed under: Homo sapiens (human)
Lineage: Eukaryota; Metazoa; Chordata; Mammalia; Primates; Hominidae
Description: HSALNT0401249
Source: RNAcentral